UUCGCCCUUUUCCGGUUGAUCCUGCCGGAGGUUACUGCUAUCGGUGUUCGCCUAAGCCAUGCGAGUCAUAUGUUCUUCGUGGACAUGGCGUACUGCUCAGUAACACGUGGAUAACCUGCCCUUGGGUCCGGCAUAACCCCGGGAAACUGGGGAUAAUUCCGGAUACCGCAUAUAUGCUGGAAUGCUUUAUGCGUCAAAUGGAUUCGUCUGCCCAAGGAUGGGUCUGCGGCCUAUCAGGUAGUAGUGGGUGUAAUGUACCUACUAGCCAACAACGGGUACGGGUUGUGAGAGCAAGAGCCCGGAGAUGGAUUCUGAGACAUGAAUCCAGGCCCUACGGGGCGCAGCAGGCGCGAAAACUUUACAAUGCGGGAAACCGUGAUAAGGGGACACCGAGUGCUAGCAUCAUAUGCUGGCUGUCCAGGUGUGUAAACUACACCUGUUGGCAAGGGCCGGGCAAGACCGGUGCCAGCCGCCGCGGUAACACCGGCGGCCCGAGUGGUGAUCGUGAUUAUUGGGUCUAAAGGGUCCGUAGCCGGUUUGGUCAGUCCUCCGGGAAAUCUGAUAGCUUAACUAUUAGGCUUUCGGGGGAUACUGCCAGGCUUGGAACCGGGAGAGGUAAGAGGUACUACAGGGGUAGGAGUGAAAUCUUGUAAUCCCUGUGGGACCACCUGUGGCGAAGGCGUCUUACCAGAACGGGUUCGACGGUGAGGGAC
Molecule: ribosomal RNA, 713 nt
Filed under: uncultured archaeon
Lineage: Archaea
Description: bacterial SSU rRNA
Rfam family: Archaeal small subunit ribosomal RNA
Source: RNAcentral